UGAACCUGCAAUGAAAUAUGAAAUAAGUAAGGCCAUAUGUUACAGUGGUAGAUUCUACCAAGUGAAUAGGCCUUCAAAUAAAGACACAAGCCAGCUGAGCAGUGAACGUGGUGCACAAAGCAUGAGUGGACAAAAAGACCACCCCUAAGCAUUUUUGGAGCUUGAAAAAACUGUUUUUAUUCUUUCUUUCCAUAUUUCUGCUUCUUGUAGGCAGAGUUCAAAAUACUGGGAUUGAACCAAACUAAUUGAACAUCGCUUAAAAUCCUGCUAAAAUUGAGCACUGUCUAUUUCAUUAUGCUGUAAUAGGAAACUAUACUGCAAUGAUCAGUGUGUGGUCCGUUGAUAUGCAAAAACUGACAAUAUAAUCUGUAAUAUAUGCUCAUUAUAUCAAUAAACAAAUACAGUAAAGACG
Actinia tenebrosa (Australian red waratah sea anemone) is the source of this 412-nucleotide long non-coding RNA. The record is from RefSeq and is a predicted model, not a curated record. NCBI's taxonomy places the organism in Eukaryota, Metazoa, Cnidaria, Anthozoa, Actiniaria, Actiniidae.